UGGCAGCAUAGCUCAGUUGGUAGAGCAAACGGCUCAUAUCCGUUGUGUCAUAGGUUCAAUCCCUAUUGCUGCUAA
Molecule: transfer RNA, 75 nt
Filed under: Spirochaetia bacterium
Lineage: Bacteria; Pseudomonadati; Spirochaetota; Spirochaetia
Description: tRNA-Met
Rfam family: tRNA
About the family: Transfer RNA (tRNA) molecules are approximately 80 nucleotides in length. Their secondary structure includes four short double-helical elements and three loops (D, anti-codon, and T loops).
Source: RNAcentral